UUGAUCAUGGCUCGAGGACGAACGCUGGCGGCGUGCUUAACACAUGCAAGUCGAACGAGGAUUAUGUUGGAAGGGCUUCGGCCUGGAAGGCGUAAUUCGAGUGGCGGACGGGUGAGUAACGCGUGAACAAUCUGUCCCGGACAGGGGAAUAACACUUGGAAACAGGUGCUAAUACCGCAUAAGACCACGCCCUCGCAUGGGGGAGGGGUAAAAGGAGGAAUCCGGUUCGGGGUGAGUUCGCGUCCGAUUAGAUAGUUGGUGAGGUAACGGCCCACCAAGUCGACGAUCGGUAGCCGACCUGAGAGGGUGAUCGGCCACAUUGGAACUGAGAGACGGUCCAAACUCCUACGGGAGGCAGCAGUGGGGAAUAUUGGGCAAUGGGCGAAAGCCCUGACCCAGCAACGCCGCGUGAGUGAAGAAGGCUUUCGGGUUGUAAAGCUCUGUUAUAGGGGACGAAGGAAGUGACGGUACCCUAUAAGGAAGCCCCGGCUAACUACGUGCCAGCAGCAGC
This 511-nucleotide ribosomal RNA is filed under the name uncultured bacterium. RNAcentral describes it as "bacterial SSU rRNA". It matches the Rfam family "Bacterial small subunit ribosomal RNA", at positions 13 to 518 of the family's 1533-position model. The record is from RNAcentral.